This 420-nucleotide ribosomal RNA is filed under the name Fusobacteriota bacterium. RNAcentral describes it as "Fusobacteria bacterium partial 16S ribosomal RNA". It matches the Rfam family "Bacterial small subunit ribosomal RNA", at positions 355 to 776 of the family's 1533-position model. The record is from RNAcentral. Lineage: Bacteria; Fusobacteriati; Fusobacteriota.
UGGGGAAUAUUGCACAAUGGACGGAAGUUUGAUGCAGCGACGCCGCGUGGAGGGUGUAGGCCUUCGGGUUGUGAACUCCUUUUUCUCGCGAAAAAGGCACAGUUUUGGCUGUGUUGACGGUACCGGAAAAGCAAGCCACGGCUAACUACGUGCCAGCAGCCGCGGUAAUACGUAGGUGGCAAGCGUUGUCCGGAAUUAUUGGGCGUAAAGCGCGCGCAGGCGGCUUACUAAGUCCAUCUUAAAAGUGCGGGGCUUAACCCCGUGAUGGGAUGGAAACUGGAAAGCUGGAGUAUCGGAGAGGAAAGUGGAAUUCCUAGUGUAGCGGUGAAAUGCGUAGAGAUUAGGAAGAACACCGGUGGCGAAGGCGACUUUCUGGACGAAAACUGACGCUGAGGCGCGAAAGCGUGGGGAGCAAACAGG